CCUACGGGUGGCUGCAGUGAGGAAUAUUGGUCAAUGGGCGCGAGCCUGAACCAGCCAAGUAGCGUGAAGGAUGACUGCCCUACGGGUUGUAAACUUCUUUUAUAAAGGAAUAAAGUGAGGCACGUGUGCCUUUUUGUAUGUACUUUAUGAUUAAGGAUCGGCUAACUACGUGCCAGCAGCCGCGGUAAUACGGAGGGUCCGAGCGUUAUCCGGAUUUAGUGGGUUUAAAGGGAGCGGAGAUGGGUUGUUAAGUCAGUUGUGAAAGUUUGCGGCUCAACCGUAAAAUUGCAAUUGAUACUGGCAGUUUUGAGUACAGUUGAGGUAGGCGGAAUUCGUGGUGUAGCGGUGACAUGCUUAGAUAUCACGAAGAACUCCGAUUGCGAAGGCAGCUUACUAAACUGCCACUGACAUUGAUGCUCGAAAGUGUGGGUAUCAAACAGGAUUAGAUACCCGUGUAGUC
Molecule: ribosomal RNA, 460 nt
Filed under: uncultured bacterium
Lineage: Bacteria
Description: partial 16S ribosomal RNA
Rfam family: Bacterial small subunit ribosomal RNA
Source: RNAcentral